Long non-coding RNA from Lolium rigidum, 600 nucleotides. RefSeq lists it as uncharacterized. The transcript has 2 exons. The record is from RefSeq and is a predicted model, not a curated record. NCBI's taxonomy places the organism in Eukaryota, Viridiplantae, Streptophyta, Magnoliopsida, Poales, Poaceae.
CUUAUGAUGCGCUGUGGGUAGAAGGUAAAUGAGUGACAAAUGAUGUUUUAUUCACUUUCUAGUGUUUGCAAAGAGUGAAUUCAGGUACUUCUUACUGAAACUACUCACCCAAGAGGUAUUAUUUAUGUAAACUUAGGGUUGGUGCAUGUGCUUGCUUGCCAGGAUACUUACUUCUUUCUUUGUCAUAUGCAGGUUGCCAUGUACAUCCUUUGUCUGAUAUGGGUUCUUCUACCUCUGUUUUUGCUCCGCACUUUUAUAUUCAUUGUCAACCUGUUAUUAUGGUUGCCUCUGUUGGUUCUAGAUUAUGCCGCACACUUGAUGUUUGAAUGAAUUGGUUCCUGGUGCACACCUCCCCUCUCCGAGGAACUAGACGUUGACAUUCAUAGAUGGAUGAUGCCUGGGACCCCGACGGUCUUCAUGGACAUCAGUGUGGAUCAACCUAGCCGAUGAGCUGUAGGUUGAUGUGAAUGGCGUUGGCGAGAAAGUUUCAUUGUUUUCUUAUCAGUGGUUGUUUUUGAGAUUUGUUCCUUGCAUGUGCUAUACAAGUUAUGCUCCUGGCUGGUGGUAUACUGAAGUAAUGGCUUUGUCGAAUUUACACAA